GACGUAGGGCGCGAGCGUUGUCCGGAUUUAUUGGGCGUAAAGAGCUCGUAGGCGGCUCGUUGCGUCGGCUGUGAAAACCCGCAGCUCAACUGUGGGCUUGCAGCUGAUACGGGCGGGCUGGGAUUCGGUAGGGGAGACUGGAAUUCCUGGUGUAGCGGUGAAAUGCGUAGAUAUCAAGUGGAGCACCAGUGGCGAAGGCGAGUCUCUGGACAUUUCCUGACGCUGAGGCACGAAAGCCAGGGGAGCAAACGGG
RNAcentral lists this ribosomal RNA (253 nucleotides) under uncultured bacterium. Its description in RNAcentral is "partial 16S ribosomal RNA". It matches the Rfam family "Bacterial small subunit ribosomal RNA", at positions 524 to 776 of the family's 1533-position model. The record is from RNAcentral.